UCAUGUUUACAUGACAAAAUUAGAAGACCUCCAUUUUUAUUGUAACCACCUUUUCUAGACUCUCGAACGGAGUUAGCUAUGAGAACUGAGUAGUGAAAGAAUAGGUUAUUUACCAAGAAACACAAGCAGGAUUGUAGUGGCAUUGAUGAGACAUUGUUACAUGAUUGUAAAGCUUUAUAUUUAUGCUACCACAGAGAACUAUCAAGAUAGAGAUGAUGUACAUUACAGUAUGUACUGUAUGGUGAUACAUUAAAAUUUGUUGAAGGACUCAUAAUAAUAAUCAAUCUAUUGGGUCACUGAAGAACAGAAUAAUCAUCAAUAGUUAUAAUGAUAAUAAUUUAAAUAAUAAUUUUUUAGUACUUAGCACAGUG
This 371-nucleotide long non-coding RNA is filed under the name Amphimedon queenslandica. RNAcentral describes it as "uncharacterized LOC109589799, transcript variant X2". Lineage: Eukaryota; Metazoa; Porifera; Demospongiae; Haplosclerida; Niphatidae. The record is from RNAcentral.